UGAGGAUUGGCGGCGGAGUGUCCCAUGGAAACGGAACCCAGAAUUGCAGCCAGGGGCUUGCACGGGGGCGGGGCAGGGUCUUUCCAAGGCGCCUGCGCUAAACCAGCUUCUCGGCGCCAUUUUGUCUCGGCAGCGGUCGGCGUAGCUCCAUCGCCUUUUAUGUUUCUGGCAAGAAGGGAACGGAGUUUUCAUCCGGUAGAUUGGUUUUUGUGCGUCCGUCCUUCACCGUUUCCUCCAGGACAGCACCUAGUCUUGGCCGGAGGAGUCUCAGAGCUGUCAGAAAGAAUAAGGCUGAUUUUACGGGAAAAUUAAGCAAAGUGUUCCUUGAAAAACCUGAAUCUGCGAUCUGUCUGUGGUCUCUUUAUGAAUAAAGAAAUAAAAGCAAAUAGAAUCUUAUCA
Long non-coding RNA from Piliocolobus tephrosceles (Ugandan red Colobus), 399 nucleotides. NCBI's taxonomy places the organism in Eukaryota, Metazoa, Chordata, Mammalia, Primates, Cercopithecidae. The record is from Ensembl.